Molecule: ribosomal RNA, 301 nt
Filed under: uncultured bacterium
Lineage: Bacteria
Description: partial 16S ribosomal RNA
Rfam family: Bacterial small subunit ribosomal RNA
Source: RNAcentral
CAGCAGCUGCGGUAACACGUAGGGUGCAAGCGUUAAUCGGAAUUACUGGGCGUAAAGCGUGCGCAGGCGGUUAUAUAAGACAGAUGUGAAAUCCCCGGGCUCAACCUGGGAACUGCAUUUGUGACUGUAUAGCUAGAGUACGGCAGAGGGGGAUGGAAUUCCGCGUGUAGCAGUGAAAUGCGUAGAUAUGCGGAGGAACACCGAUGGCGAAGGCAAUCCCCUGGGCCUGUACUGACGCUCAUGCACGAAAGCGUGGGGAGCAAACAGGAUUAGAUACCCCUGUAGUCCCUGUCUCUUAUAC